This 24-nucleotide non-coding RNA is filed under the name Cricetulus griseus (Chinese hamster). The record is from RNAcentral. Lineage: Eukaryota; Metazoa; Chordata; Mammalia; Rodentia; Cricetidae.
AUUGAGAAGGCAUGUGCGGACGAU